Molecule: ribosomal RNA, 245 nt
Filed under: uncultured Thalassomonas sp.
Lineage: Bacteria; Pseudomonadati; Pseudomonadota; Gammaproteobacteria; Alteromonadales; Colwelliaceae
Description: partial 16S ribosomal RNA
Rfam family: Bacterial small subunit ribosomal RNA
Source: RNAcentral
GACAGAGGCCCCGAGCGUUAAUCGGAAUUACUGGGCUUAAAGGGUGCGUAGGCCGGCCCGCAAGUGCUUUGUGAAAUCCCCCGGCUCAACCGGGGAACAGCGGGGCAUACUGCGGGUCUUGAGGCAGGUAGGGGCCGCGAGAACAGUAGGUGGAGCGGUGAAAUGCGUAGAUAUCUACUGGAAUGCCGAUGGUGAAGACGCGCGGCUGGGCCUGUCCUGACGCUGAGGCACGAAAGCGUGGGGAG